RNAcentral lists this long non-coding RNA (349 nucleotides) under Olea europaea (common olive). RNAcentral describes it as "long non-coding RNA (OEUR_LNC003277)". Lineage: Eukaryota; Viridiplantae; Streptophyta; Magnoliopsida; Lamiales; Oleaceae. The record is from RNAcentral.
UUUAUUACUAUUAGUCAUGUGCUGAUGUUUAGAUCCAUUCUUACCGAGGAUUGGUUAUUUGUUUUCUUCUUUUACAGUUUCACUUUUUGGGCUAUGAGAGUAUUUGUUAUUUGUUUAACUUAUAUUGAUUAUACAGGACAUAGAGGAUUAAUAAGAUUAUUUUUUUUGUUCUUCAUUUGUAUGUACAUACUUUUUGUGUCCGUGAUAUUUUUAAUUCUUAUUCUUGGUUGUAGUUAUAGAAUUUAAUUUUGAUUUAGUUCUAAAAUUAUUUUUUAUAAACUUAGCCAAUAAUUUAUAUGUAUGUAUUCAAAAGAAUCAAUAUUUUUGUCCCUUCAAAUAGAAAAGUGUG